RNAcentral lists this microRNA precursor (103 nucleotides) under Marmota monax (woodchuck). The record is from RNAcentral. Lineage: Eukaryota; Metazoa; Chordata; Mammalia; Rodentia; Sciuridae.
AGUGGGAUAGCUGGGUCAAAUGGUGGUUUUAUUCCAAAUUUUCUAAGGAAUCUCCAUACUGCUUUCCAUAUUGGCUGCAUCAAUUUGCAGUCCCACCAGCAAU